This is a long non-coding RNA of Salarias fasciatus (jewelled blenny), 141 nucleotides long. RefSeq lists it as uncharacterized. The transcript is spliced from 3 exons. NCBI's taxonomy places the organism in Eukaryota, Metazoa, Chordata, Actinopteri, Blenniiformes, Blenniidae. The record is from RefSeq and is a predicted model, not a curated record.
CAGCUGAUCAGAGGCGAGUCUGAGGCCAGAGAUCCAGCUUCUUGGAGGAAGUUCUUCGUCAUCCUGACAGGAAGAACAAACGGAGCUCAUCAAUCUGUUGUUAAAAACUUUAAAUCUUUGGGUCAGACUGAGGCGAGGUCU